Molecule: long non-coding RNA, 23373 nt
Filed under: Vitis vinifera (wine grape)
Lineage: Eukaryota; Viridiplantae; Streptophyta; Magnoliopsida; Vitales; Vitaceae
Description: long non-coding RNA (VVIN_LNC002973)
Source: RNAcentral
UGAUAACAAGCAUUACCCAGAAAUGUGUUUUAGCAUAAGAGAGUGGUAGUUACAUCAAACUUGUAACUUUUGGUUUGGCCUUUGUUUGUUUUGUUUUGCAUCUUUGGUUGCCAUUGUGAAGCGUCAAAUUUGUCAUUGUUUCCUGCAAUUUAGAUUUGGACCAAGAAUAAGUUUAAUCCUAUUAAUCAUGUUGGUAUGCCUUGUUUGCUUAAACUUUUGAGUUAAAUUUGUAGUUUAAAUCAGUGUUAUCAAAGGUGAUCGCCUGGGCUGCCUACGUCAUUAGGCUAGACAAGGUAGAUAAAAGUCGCCUUUUGAAGACCUAGGCAAGGUGACUUUAAAGAGGCAAUCGCCUUAGGAUAAGGCACAAGGCAUAGAGGCAAUCGCCUUUGACCAUGAAUUAAGAUUAAACAUACUUAGAUUAUAAUUUCAUUCAAUCUAACAUUGGAUUAAACAAAGUAUAAAAUAAAAUAUUAUAUUAUCAAUCAUAGAGAUAAUAAGAUGGAGGGUUAUCAAUCUAAUCUUGAUGGAAGUAAUAACGAUUUUAAUUUCAAUAAUGACUAUGAUGAUGAUGCCUAAAACUUCUCUAGAAUGUUCAAUCUCUUAUUUUGUUUUUUAUUUUGCUUUUUAGAUGUUUGAAAAAUUAAAAUAUACAUUUAGAUAGGAUGGAUAUCUUUAAACAAUAUGAUGUUUUUUAUAAUAUGAGGUAUAGUAUUUAAUACUUUCAAUAAUUAUUACUAUUUUGUUAAUUUAUAAGACAUCGUGAGUGAUGCAAAAUUAAUAGUGUUGAUUGUUGAAGACAAUACUUAUAUUAGUUGAAUAUCGAAUAGGUAAAUAUAUGUAUAUUUUGUAUCGCCUUACUAUAGUUAGGUUAUCGCCUUGUUUUUCGCCUUUUGCCUUAGGCUAAAAGGAGUCUUAUCACCUUAAUGUCACCUUUUGCUUUUGACAACAUUGGUUUAAAUCCAUGUGUUGAAUCCUUGGCUUUUGAGAGGUCUUAGGUAGUUAGGUUUGAAUCUCACCUGUAGACCCUCAAUUUUGUCCCUUUAGCACAUGUCUUUAAAAUUCGUUUUCAAUGCUCCACAAUAGUUCCUUGGUGGCCCAUGGCUACUCAUACCACUUACCUUUUUUUGAGUCACCUCGGAGACUUUGGUUGAGGGAUUAUUUGACCCCUUAUCGUGACCCUUAGCAGCCCUAUUUUAAACUUAGGCUUUUCAUUCAUUUUUAGGAUAGCUUUUAGGGUAGUCUGCUUAGGCCCACUUAGGCACCCUAGGCCCAUUUAGGCACCCUAGGUCCACUUAGGCACUCUAGGCCCACUUAGGCACCCUAGGUCCACUUAGGCACCCUAGGUCCACUUAGGCACCCUAGGUCCACUUAGGCACCCUAAGCCCAUUUAGGCACCUAGGUCCACUUAAACACCUUAGGCCCAUUUAGGCACCCUAGGUCCACUUAAACACCUUAGGCCCAUUUAGGCACCCUAAGCCCACUUAGGCACCCUAGGCCCACUUAGACACCGUAAGCCCACUUAGACACCCUUGGUCCAUUUAGGCACCCUAGGUCCCCUUAGGCACCUUAGGCCCACUUAGGCCCCCUAGGCCCAUUUAGGCACCCUUGGCCCAUUUAGUUAGGCCCACCUAGUCUCACCUUAGGCCCAUUUAGGCACACUUGACCCAUUAAGACAUUUUUAGCGUUACUUGUAUGACUUGCAUGGUUGCAUGGCUUGUGGGGCUCAGUUUUUAUUUAUUUGUUUAUUUUUAUUUUUAGUUUUAUUUUUAUUAUUAUCAAUCACUUGUUUAUUUUUAUUUGUUAUAUUCCUUUUUAUAUUAUUUUUCUUAGCUUUUUAAUUAACUUAUUUAUUUAUUAUUGUUUUACCAUUUUCUAAUUUAUCUACUCAUUUAUUUAUUCAUUUAGUUAUUUAAUUUAAAAAAAUUUCAUGCUUUUGCGAGGAAACUUACCAUUGAAGUUUAGGGAAAGUGAGACUCUCCUUGAAAGGUUUUGGAGAGGGAGUUUGAAAUUGGGAGGAUUGUUUUUGAAUUGGAAAAUUGGAAAAAGAAGGAAAAAAAUGGGGAAUCUCUCACACCCAUAUAAGGAGUAGACUGCCAUCAUGAGAUAAAAAAAAAAAAAAAAGGAGUUAGAGAUUUUUAUUUUCUAGGGGAUAGAGAGAACAAUAGGAAUUUUUUAGAAGGGGUUUUUUUUUGAGAGAUUCAAGCAUAAAUUAGAAUUUUUUUUUUAAAGAGAGCACUCGGAAUUUUGGAAAAAAGCAAGGGACUUCAGACGGAGAUCGGACUGCCAUUUAAUCAUCAAGAGAGGAUUUUCUCUUUCACUUCAAAGGUUAGUUUUCUAUAUAGUACUUUUAUUUAGCCUAGAUUUUUUUUGGAAAUUUUAGUUUUUGAUUAAUUCUUUGUGUUAAAGUUUAUAUUAUUUUCUUUUUAAAUCCCCAAUUAGUUUAAUUCCAAUCUAUCUUUUAGUUUAAGUUUGUUAAUGAUUUUAAUUCUUAAGUUUAAAUAAUCAUAUUGAAUAAAGUUUGUAUUUUUAAUCCCGAUUAGUUUGAUUUCAAUUCGUUUUUAGUUUAAAUGUAUUCUGUUGAUCUUAAUUCUUGACUUUAAAUAAUCACGUUAAAUAAAGUUUGUAUUUUUAAUCCCAAUUAGUUUGAUUUCAAUUCGUUUUUUUAGUUUAAAUGUAUCUUGUUGAUUUUAAUUCUUUACUUUAAAUAAUCACGUUAAUAAAGUUUGUAUUUUUAAUCCCAAUUAGUUUGAUUUCAAUUCGUUUUUAAUUUAAAUGCAUUAGUUGAUCUUAAUUCUUUGUUUUAAAUAAUCACGUUAAAUAAAGUUUGUAUUUUUAAUCCCAAUUAGUUUGAUUUCAAUUCGUUUUUUUAGUUUAAAUGUAUUUUGUUGAUCUUAAUUCUUAAGUUUAAAUAAUCAUAUUGAAUAAAGUUUGUAUUUUUAAUUCCAAUUAGUUUGAUUUCAAUUCAUUUUUAAUUUAAAUGUAUUUUGUUGAUCUUAAUUCUUUACUUUAAAUAAUCAUAUUGAAUAAAGUUCAUAUUUUUUAUUAUCCCUCAUAAAUUGAGCAUAAUAAUCAAGAAUUAACAUAUGAUUGACUAAACACACAAGUACACCUAGAUUUAAAAAAUAAAAAUAAAUCAAAACUAUACUCAAUUAGAAUUAAAAACAUAAGCUUUAUAUGAUGGGAUUAAGCAAACUAUUGGAUUAAAAUCAUUAACAAGAUUAAAACUAAGCUAUGCUAUAAUUUAAGACAUAAGUUUUAUUUAACAAAAAUUAAUUAAACUAUUAAAUUACAACCAAAAAUGCAUCCAAACUAAAAAAAAGAUAAAUUACAACAAAACUAAAUCGGAAUUAAAAAUAAAUAAAUAAAUAAAUAAACUUUUUCUAAUAAGAUUAUUUUAAACUAAUGAAUUAAAAUCAAUAACACAUUUAGACUAAAUCAUAAAUCAAAACUAAACUAAUGCGGGAUAAAAAAAAUGUAAACUUUAUUUGACAGGAUUAUUUAAACUAAGGAAUUAAAACUACAAACACACUCGAACAAAAAGGUAGGUUAAAACUGAAUUAAUUCAAAAUAUAAAUCUUAUCUAACUGAAUUAUUUGAAGUAAUAAAUUAAAAUUAUAAACAUAUUUAAACUAAUAGAUAAAUUAAAAAUAAACUAAUUUGGGAUAAUAAAAAAUAUGAACUUUAUUCAAUAUGAUUAUUUAAAGUAAGGAAUUAAGAUCAACAAAAUACAUUUAAAUUAAAAACGAAUUGAAAUCAAACUAAUUGGGAUUAAAAAUACAAACUUUAUUCAAUAUGAUUAUUUAAACUUAAGAAUUAAGAUCAACAAAAUACAUUUAAACUAAAAAAAUGAAUUGAAAUCAAACUAAUUGGGAUUAAAAAUACAAACUUUAUUUAACGUGAUUAUUUAAAACAAAGAAUUAAGAUCAACUAAUGCAUUUAAAUUAAAAACGAAUUGAAAUCAAACUAAUUGGGAUUAAAAAUACAAACUUUAUUUAACGUGAUUAUUUAAAAAAAAAAUUAAAAUCAACUAAUGCAUUUAAAUUAAAAACGAAUUGAAAUCAAACUAAUUGGAAUUAAAAAUACAAACUUUAUUAACGUGAUUAUUUAAAGUAAAGAAUCAAGAUCAACAAGAUACAUUUAAACUAAAAAACAAAUUGAAAUCAAACUAAUUGGGAUUAAAAAUACAAACUUUAUUUAACGUGAUUGUUUAAAGUCAAGAAUUAAGAUCAACAGAAUACAUUUAAACUAAAAACGAAUUGAAAUCAAACUAAUCGGGAUUAAAAAUACAAACUUUAUUCAAUAUGAUUAUUUAAACUUAAGAAUUAAAAUCAUUAACAAACUUAAACUAAAAGAUAGAUUGGAAUUAAACUAAUUGGGGAUUUAAAAAGAAAAUAAUAUAAACUUUAACACAAAGAAUUAAUCAAAAACUAAAAUUUCCAAAAAAAAAAUCUAGGCUAAAUAAAAGUACUAUAUAGAAAACUAACCUUUGAAGUGAAAGAGAAAAUCCUCUCUUGAUGAUUAAAUGGUAGCCCGAUCUUCGUCCGAAGUCCCUUGCUUUUUUCCAAAAUUCCGUGUGCUCUCUUUAAAAAAAAAAAAUUAUGCUUUAUGCUUGAAUCUCUCAAAAAAACCCCUUCUAAAAAAUUCCUAUUGUUCUCUCUAUCCCUCAGAAAAUAAAAAUCUCUAACUCUUUUUUUUUUUUUUUUAUGUCAUGAUGGCAGUCUACUCCUUAUAUGGGUGUGAGAGAUUCCCCAUUUUUUUCCUUCUUUUUCCAAUCUUCCCAUUCAAAAACAAUCCUCCCAAUUUCAAACUCCCUCUCCAAAACCUUCUAAGGAGAGUCUCACUUUCCUUAAACUUCAAUGGUAAGUUUUCUUGCAAAAGCAUGAAAUUUUUUUAAAUUAAAUAAUUGAAUGAAUAAAUAAAUGAGUAGAUAAAUUAGAAAAUGGUAAAACAAUAAUAAAUAAAUAAGUUAAUUAAAAAACUAAGAAAAAUAAUAUAAAAAGGAAUAUAACAAAUAAAAAUAAACAAGUGAUUGAUAAUAAUAAAAAUAAAACUAAAAAUAAAAAUAAACAAAUAAAUAAAAACUGAGCCCCACAAGCCAUGCAACCAUGCAAGUCAUACAAGUCACGCUAAAAAUGUCUUAAUGGGCCAAGUGUGCCUAAAUGGGCCUAAGGUGAGACUAGGUGGGCCUAACUAAAUGGGCCAAGGGUGUCUAAGUGGGCUUAGGGUGUCUAAGUGGGCCUAGGGUGCCUAAAUGGGCCAAGGGUGCUUGAGUGGGCUUAGGGUGCCUAAAUGGGCCUAAGGUGUCUAAGUGGACCUAGGGUGCCUAAAUAGGCCUAGGGUGCCUAAGUGGACCUAGGGUGCCUAAAUGGGCCUAGAGUGCCUAAGUGGACCUAGGGUGCCUAAAUGGGCCUAGGGUGCCUAAGUGGGCCUAAGCAGACUACCCUAAAAGCUAUCCUAAAAAUGAAUGAAAAGCCUAAGUCUAAAAUAGGGCUGUCAAGGGUCACAAUAAGGGGUCAGAUAAUCCCUCAACCAAAGUCUCCGAGGUGACUCAGAAAAAGGUAAGUGGUAUGAGUAGCCAUGGGCCACCAAGGAACUAUUGUGGAGCAUUGAAAACGAAUUUUAAAGACAUGUGUUAAAGGGACAAAAUUAAGGGUUUACAAAUAUGCUCCUCUUCGGUAUAGAUCACGAGUGUAGAGAAUGUGAGUAGAAACACGAGUAAUGAGCGGUAUGAAGUGAACUAUACCGAAGAAUUAAAGAAGGACCAGAGAUUUUGUCCUAGCAUAUGAAGAGGUAAGGUCAAAAGAUGGGGUCUCAAUGACAUGGAUGAGACAACUCUACGUGGGGAGGGAAUGGCAAUAAAGAGAGAAAGGUAUGUAACGAGUAGCACAAAGAUGGAAAGAGAUGAAAAGGAUGAUUCAAAGUCAUGGACGAUAUGAAUGAAUCUGGAUCAUGGACAAGGUGAAUGACUUUGGAUCUAGAAUAGGAUAAAUGACUCUGGGUCAUGAGCUCAAGGCUUUAAGCGGAAAGAAUGACUCUAGGUCAAGAUGGAAAACGACUCUAGGUCGAGAGCUCUAGGCUCUAGGUCGAGAGCUCUAGGCUCUAAAUGGAGAAGAAAUGAUUCUGGGUCAUAAAUGGAAAAUGACUCUAGGUCGAGAGCUCAGGGCUCUAAAUGGAAAAUAAAUGACUCUGGGUCAUAAAUAGGAAAAACGACUCUGGGUCGAGAGCUCUAGGCUCUAAAUAGAUAGCCGAUCAGGAUGCUUUCCGGCUCAUGGUGCCUGGUCAAGGCCACUUGCAAGUGGCUAGAAUGAUGAAAAUGAAACAUCUCAGGGAUGUAAAGGAUGCAAACGACUCUGGGUCAUGAGCUCAGGGCUCAAGAUGCUAUAAAUGACUCUGGGUCAUGAUGCAAUGAGUAACUCGGGGUUAUGAUGAAUAGCUCAGGGCUAUGGAUGAAAUGAAUGACUCUAGGUCAUGAUGCAAUGAGUAACUCAGGGUUAGAAUGAAUAGCUCAGGGCUAUGAGCUCCGGGCUCUAGGACUGAUCGGCAUGAAGGAGAAGGAGAAUGCGAUAUGCAAACUCCAGGUCAAACCACUCAUGGGCGACCAAAUGAUGAAGGCUUAGCUCAGGGCUGGAAAGACUCCGGGUCUAUAGGAAACGAUAGCUCAGGGCUACCAGGCUCAGGGCUUGAGGGAAAAAUGAUAGCUCAAAGCUAUAAGACUUAGGGUCUAGAAGGAAUGGAUAGCUCAGGGCCAUAAGGCUCAGGGUCUAGAAGGAAUGGAUAGCUUAGGGCCAUAAGACUCAGGGUCUAGAAGGAAUGGAUAGCUCAGGGCUACUAGGCUCAGGGCCCAAGGGAAGAAGAUAGCUCAGGAGGGCUAUAAGACUCGGGGUCUAGAAGGAAUGGAUAGCUCAGGGCCAUAAGACCCAGGGUUUAGAAGGAAUGGAUAGCUCAGGGCCAUAAGACUUAGGGUUUAAAAGGAAUGGAUAGCUCAGGGCUACUAGGCUCAGGGCCCAAGGGAAGAAGAUAGCUUAGGAGGGCUAUAAGACUCGGGGUCUAGAAGGAAUAGAUAAAGAAGACCAACUUGAAAGUAGAUAGGAAGUAAAUGGGCACCAAGGUGAAUACUCAAAAUGACAAAAGUCGGACUACUGAACUCAAUAAGGAAAAUAUGCCCCAGUAUCUAGGGUGCUCACACUGUUGAAACAACCGGUAAAUCAAUCAUCUGCUAGAAUCAAUGGGUCAAGAACCAAUACAUCAUGACAAACCUCUGAAAAGUCAAAACUGAAGGAGGCCUCUGUGUCUGAAAAACUGCUAUGUCAACGAACCUCAAAAGGCAAAUCUCAAAGUGUGUAUAUCAUGAAUUGUUUAAAAGCAAAUCUCAAAGUACACGAAAGUAAUGCUCAUCUGGAUAACCCAAUAUGCAAGGUAACAAUGGCGUAAACAAAUCUGUCUCAUGAACAUCUGGUUAAAGGACCCACCCACGCUCCUCGGGUGAAACCUGAUGCGAUUCAUCUCUAUCUCAACAAAUCCAUGUAGGGAGGCCCUGAUACAGUCGAUCGUCGGAAGCUUUGGGCUAGUACUCAAUCUAAAACCAAGCUGGCCACUGUCCCAAUCUCAAGGAUACUAAAAGAAUAUGGGGAAAUAUGCCCCAGUAUAAAAUCCGAUAUCAAAGUCAUGAGGUAAACAACUGACACUAAUCAUCCGUCCACAUACCACCGCGCGAACAAAAUCUCAUCAAGGAAAAGGGAAUGUGCCCUAGUGUGGAUAUCUGAUGUCGAAGUCAUGAGGCAAACAACUAACAAUGAUCAUUCAUCCUCGUACCACUGCCCAAACAUAAUCUCAUCAUGGAGAGGGAAAUAUGCCCCAGUAUGGAUAUUUGAUGUCGAAGUCGCGAGGUAAACAAACAACAAUGAUCAUCCAUCUAUGCACAAUCUCACAAAGGAGAGGGGAAUAUGCCCCAAUGUGGAUAUUUGAUGUACAAGGAAGAGUGUCAGAAUCAACCAAAUAUCUUUAUAACCAUGAAUAAGGAUAGCCAUACCAUACAGUAACAGAUAGGAAUCUCGGAGGAACGGGGGAAUAUGCCCUAGUGUGAAUAUAUAAUGCACAACCAAAUGAUGAAUCCAACAUCAUCAAUCAAUUGUCCUCAGCUCAACAAUGAUCUGCUAAGAAGUUAGAAUGAAGUAUCGACUGAUGCCUCAAGGGAGACAUUCUAAAUCUAAUCUCAAAGGAAUAACCAAAAUGAUGAAGGAUGUGGUAAUCUCAAGAAUAGAAGCAUGUCUCUGAUGAAUCCCAAACUAAAUAUGAUAUGAAACCAAUGACCUCAAAAAAAGGAAAUAAGCCUCAGUAUGGAUGUUUGGUGCACGACAAAAGGAUGAAUUCGAUAUCCUCAAUGAACUAUCUCCAAACCCAAAAAUCCAUCAAACAUCAAUAUGCUAUGCGAGAGAGAAACCAGAUGCUUCCAAAAGUAUCUUCCAUAAAAGAGAACAUAGUAACGACUAUACUUCAACCAAUCUGCAAAAGCCUGUCCAAGUGAAGACUGUCAAAGAUAAUGUCUGAUCUCGUGGCCUCAGGGUGGUCUUAAGACACGGGACGUAACGUAGGCCAAGGCGAUAUGGUGAAAGAAAUGAAGGGAAACUAGGCUCAAAUAUCCAAUGAUCAAACCCAUACCCUCGUGUAUAAGAUGUAAUGCAUAGAAAAAAAAUCUCAUGAGCCAUGGACUUAAAAGUAACCAAAGGAAAUGUCGAUAGUGAAAUGAGAGAAAGGAUGAAUGGUCAAACCAUCAAUGAAAUAUGUGAAUGAUGUGAAGAAGGUAUCAAAUCAGUAAUGGGUAUCAACAUGUUGGGAAUGGAUAAAAAGUGGAAUGAAGAUUUGGAAAGAGGUAAUGGGAUACAAAAGAAAGCAAUAAGAAAGUGGAAUGAGUGAUGAUCAACCCAUGUUAGUACAAUAAAGGAAAGUCAUAUCACCAAUGAUGGAAUGGUGGGUAUAAGACAAUGAUCCGGAGACCUUAGUAAGGAGAUUACUCAUCUCUCAUACCUAAUACAUAUCAACCGUGAUCUAAAAAGCAUAGGAUCUCAUAGCACUCUCACAUGAACCCUUGACACUCCAAAUGCAUAACAAGAGUGGCUCAAGAGUGAAAACUCAUAAAAAAAACUCACAAAAAACCCAUAAUGACAAAUAUACCCAAUAAAUGAACCUCAAAAGGUGGCAUAAAUGCCCAAUGGAGCGAGAUACUAUACAUGAACAUAUCAUUGCGCUUUUCUUUUCUUUUCUUUUGAUUUUUUUUUUUUACGCAUGCUCUGAUCAUCAAUAAAUCGAACUCCAACGGGAAAGAUAUAAGGAAUGAACAAACUCUCUCAAAUCAGUGAUGAAUACAUGAACCCUAUCCCAUGAGAUAACCUCUCAAACCAAAAUCUCCGAAUCAAUGUCAAAUGAUGGAAUGAAUAGAGUGAUAUGACCGUCCUUUUUGCACUAAGAUUUGAAGAAUCAUCAACCCAAGGAAGAGAAUAGAUAAGAUGAAACAAAUAAUGAUAAAAACAAGAAAGAGAAUGAAUAUGUGGUGAUAAUAAAAUAAAACAAAUGGGGUGAUAAGGAUAUGAUGGAAAGAAAGAGAAAAUAGGCCUAUAAGUCUAAAGCUCAUGAGACUUUCUUAGCAAAGCAUGCGUAUACAUCAAAGGGCCCCAACCCGAGUGUAGAAAUGGUAAUCAAGGCUAUAAGAAAAGAAAAAAAGGUUUCAGCAUACCACGUGAAGCUCAAUGUGCUAGCAACAGUCUAAUAUAUAAAGGUGAUAAAGUAUAAGGCUAACCGAAAUGAUGGCCACCCAUCCUGCAGCCACGGUCUCAAACAUAAUACUUCUUCAGCUGAUCCACAUUGGUAGACUCUGAAAAUUGGUUUCCAUCUAAGUUAGUCAACCAUGCAGCCCCUUCCGGAGUCAACUCUUGAAUAACAUAAGGCCCACUCCAACUAGGUCUAAACUUUCCUCUGGGGUCUCCAAUCAAACCUCUGAGAAUCCUCAAAACCAAAUCAUCUUUUUGUAAUGGUCUCGGCUUAACCCGUUUCUUGAAGGCACGAGCCAUCUUUCUCUAAUAGGCCUGAACAUGAUCUGCUGCUCUCAAUCUCCUCUUAUCUAAAAGGUUAAGCUGAUCAAAUCGAGCCUAAGCCCACUCUGUCUCAGAAAUCUACUGCUCAAGGGCUACUCUCAAUGAACCCAUCUCUGUCUCGAUUGGUAAAACAGCCUCCAUACCAUACACUAGGGAGUAAGGCGUAGCUCCUGUAGAGGUACGAAAAGAUGUACGGUAUGCCCAUAAUGCAAAAGGGAGCUUCUCUGACCAAUCUCGAGAAGUCUCAACCAUCUUCCUCAAAAUCCUCUUAAUAUUAUUGUUUGCAGCCUCUACUGCCCCAUUGGUCUGUGGCCUAUAUGCAGAAGAUCUAUGAUGUCGGAUGCCAUACUCCUGUAACAAAGUGUCUACCUCAGCUCGGAAGUGCGCCCCUCUAUCGGAAAUCAACUCAUGAGGAACCCCAUAGCGGCAAAUGAUGUGUGAUUUGAUGAAACUGGCAACUCUAGCAGAUGUCAACCUCGCAUAUGAUGCAGCCUCCAUCCACUUGGUGAAAUAAUCUAUGGCGACUAGGAUGAACUCAUGACCACUGGAAGAUUUUGGUGAAACCUUCCCAAUAAUAUCAAUUUCCCAUACUGAGAAUGGCCAUGGCGAGGUCAGAGCGUGUAACUCUGAUGGCGAUGCAUGUAUGAGAUCACCAUGAAUCUGACACUCUGGGCAUUUCUAAAUAAACUGACAACAAUCUGUCUCCAUAGUCAAUCAGAAAUAGCUUGUCCUCAUAAUCUUACGAGCUAGCAUGUGUCCUCCCAUAUGCGGACCACAAACUCCUACAUGAACCUCUCUCAUCACUCGAUCUACAGAGGCUCAAUCUAAACACAAUAGAAGCAUACCAUCAGCUGAUCGCCUAUAUAAGGCAUAUCCACAAAUCACAAAUCUGGUGGCUAAAUGCCUCAGUGCUCUCCGAUCCUUGGCAAUGGCUAUCUCAGGGUAUGUGCCAGAUCUAAGAAAUUGAUAAAUGUCAUGAUUCCAAGGUAGAUCAUCUUGGACCUCUAUUUCUCCAAUCAAACAACAAUAGACGGGUGCAGACCUCAACUCAAUCAGUAACGGAUGUACAACUAUGUCAAUCGGAAUGUCCACAGAGGAAGCUAGGGUAGCUAAGGCGUUGGCAAACCGGUUUUGCACUCUAGGCAAAUGAACAUAUCUCAAGUCAUCAAAUCUCGCAACUAGCAACUCUAAAUAAGCAUGAUACGGUCUAAGCUUCACAUCCCUAGUCUUCCAGUCUCCCUGAAUCUGUCUGAGCACCAGAUUGGAGUCACCAAAUACCUCCAUCUGUCUAAUGCCAAGCUUCAAUGUAGUCUCUAAACCAAGGAUACAAGCCUCAUACUCAACUAUAUUAUUCAUGAUAGGAUGUCGAUCAUGGAAUGCCAAAUGAACAGAUCUCGGAAUAUGAUCGCCCUGAGAGGAUACCAACAUAACACCUAUCCCAUACCCUAACUGAUUGGUUGCACCAUCAAAGUACAAACACCAUCCUGAUAAGCUAGUCAUAGCAACAAACUCCUCAUCUGGAAAAUCAUCAUCAAUUGGUUUAUUCUCAGAUGUCGGUAGUGAGGCUAAGUGAUCGACAACAAUACUUCCCUUAAUAGACUUAUGAGAAACGUACUGAAUAUCGAACUCUGUCAAAAGUACGAGCCAUCUCAUCAAUUUACCAGUCAAUGCAGGUCUAUCAAACAAGUAUCUCAGCGGGUCUAGACAGGAUAUCAAAUGCACUGAAUACUCUGUCAUGUAAUACCUCAAUCUCCUGGUAACCCAAACUAGUGCUAAGCAAAGGCGCUCAAUCAUAACAUAUCUCAUCUCAUACUCCAACAUCCUCUUACUCAGGUAGUAAAUAGCUCAUUUCUUUCCUGAGUCAUCAAUCUGAGCUAAUAUACAUCCUAAGGCCAUGUUUGAAACUGACAAAUAUAGAAGAAGUGGACGUCCUGGCAUAGGAGGCACUAAAACAGGAGGAGAGAGCAAAUACUCCUUAAUCUUCUCAAAUGCAAGUUGACAAUCAUCAUUCCAAACUGUUGGUCGGUUCUUCCUUAAAAGAUGAAAGAUGGGCUCACAUAUGUCUGUCAAUCUGGUUAUGAAUCGAUUAAUGUACUGUAAUCUGCCUAGAAAACUUCUGAUCUCUUUCUCAGUCUUUGGCGUAGGCAUAUCAAGUAUGGCUUUGAUUUUAUCUAGGUAGACCUCUAUGCCUCUCUCACUGACUAUAUGUCCCAAUAAUUUCCUAGAAGUCACUCCUAAGGUGCACUUAUUGGGAUUCAGCCUUAAUCUAAACUUCCGGAUCCUCUCAAAGAAUCUCUUUAGAGCAUCUAGGUGAUCUGCUCUACCUCGGGAUUUCACAAUCAUAUCAUCCACAUAAACUUCAACAUCCCUAUGCAUCAUGUCAUGAAACAAAGUAGUAGCGGCUCUUUGAUAAGUGGCUCAUACGUUCUUCAACCCAAAUGGCAUAACCUUGUAACAAUAGGUACCCCACUCAGUAAUAAAGGCUAUCUUCUCCAUAUCCUCUGGAGCCAUCAAAAUCUGAUUAUACCCUGAAAACCCAUCCAUGAAAGAAAACAUCGAAUGGCCUGCGGUGCUAUCGACCAACAAAUCAAUGUGUGGGAGAGGAAAAUCAUCUUUAGGGCUGGCUUUAUUAAGAUCUCUGAAGUCAACACAAACCCUAACUUUGCCAUCCUUUUUGGGAAUAGGGACGACAUUAGCCAACCACUCUGGAUACUCAACCGUUGAUAUGAACCCAACACUGAGCUAUUUUUAAAUCUCCUCUUUUACUUGCAGACUCCAACAUGGAUGCAAUCGUCUCAAUUUCUGCUUAACUGAUCUGACAUGUGGUAGGGUAGGUAAAUGGUGUUGGACUAUAGAGGGGUUGAGACCAAGCAUGUCUUCAUAAGACCAUGCAAAGACAUCCAAGUAUGACCUAAGUAGGUGAAUGAGUCUAUCCUUCUCAUCUGUAGAUAUUGGUGAACCAAUCUUCAGCUCUUUAGGUUGAUCCUCUAUGCCAAAAUCAAUAGUCUCCACGUCCCCUACAGCAGAUGAAACUCUCUCAUCUAUGGGAUCAGAGUCAUGAUCAAAAGAGUCCCUAUCCAAACCGGGUUGUGCAAUCUCAUCAUCUAUAUCAAAUAUCUGUGUAAUGGGUGAAUGGGGUGCAGAUAUAGAGAUACUAUCACAAGAAACAGACAAAUACUAAAAAAUGCUCAAAUCCAUAAAUGAAGCAAUAGAAACAUCGUCAGAGAGGAAGACAAAUCCCGAUAAAACAUCAAAAGAAAGAGGUGGGUCCACAAGGUCGGACGCUCCUUCAAUUGGGCUAACAAUGCCCUCAAACAAACUACUAUCAUCCUCUGGAAGCUCUAGAACAUGAAUAGUCUGGGUCUCUUCAAGAACCUCAAUGGUAGAUACCCCAAACAUAUCAAAUGGUGAAACAGGCUGAAGUUGAACAAUGCUGGUAAUCUGGCUCACGGUCAUCAUGUCCAUCUCAUCUUGGUACUCAUCAUGGGGAACAACUCCAUCAAUCAUCUCACUAGGAUCAACAAUCACCCCAUCGCCAGUGAUCUCCUCUGGGAAGCAUAGAGACAACAUGCUAGCUCGAUCUGGAGACGUGGCAGUAAUCACCAUAGGGAAAGAAGUGUCGGGAGCCCCAUCACUCAAUUGUAACUGGUGAAACAGAUGCUGAAGCUCGGUCUCUCUAUCUGUAUGAACCAUACUAUCAAUCUCCUCUAGACGAGGUCGAGUCUCUGAUCCUCUGACAAAGUAGUCAGCCAAACUCAUCCUAUAGGGUCGAAUAGGGUAAUCAAAUGGUGUGUGGGAUAAACAGGCCCUCACCCUCUCACUGCGCAAUUGAGCCAUGUAACGGUAAUCGACCUCGGUAGGGAUGAAUCCAAGUCCAAAUGUCAUAUCAUGAUUAAUGGUAGCUAUGAACUCGAUAGGUCCCUGCUGACGUCACCUUAACCCCAUGCCAGGUAGAAAGGUCAUACCCCUCAUCAUAUCUAGAACCACUGUGCUACUGUGCUGAUCAAAAGACAUAACUAUAAAAUCUCUGCAAAAAUCCUCAAUCUCAAGAAUCUGUAUCUCAUCAAAAGUAAACCCAGUCAGAAGUAGGUCGUCCUCACUGUGACUAAUCUGAAGUACUGGCUCAGAAGCGGCAAAUAUAUCCCUGGUAGACUGUAUUGUGAUGACCUGCCCAUCAUGAAUGAACUUCACUUUCUGAUGAGGGAAGAAGGAAUAGCUCCAGCUAUAUGAAUCCAUGGUCGGCCUAGUAGUAGGUUAAAGGAUGUAGGAAUCCUCAAAACCUGGAACAAAGUGGAGAAUGUGGUUGGACCAAUCUGCAAAUCAAUCACCAAGGUACCCAUAACCUCCCUCUUGGUGCUAUCAUAUGCCCUGACUGUCUGAGUAGAAGGACCAAAAUCUGAAGGCGCGAAACCAAGGGCUAUAGUAGUGGCUAAAGGGUAGACAUUCAAGGUUGAGCCGUUGUCCAGUAGGACAGAUGAGACUCUAUGGCCUGAACAUCCAACUGUGAUAUAUAGAGGGCGUACGUGGUCUGAACCGUCAGGUGGCAAGUCAUCAUCUGAGAACACAAUGCAAGUGGCCCUGCCCGACGUCAUCAUAUGAAUCAAUCCCUCUGGAGUGGUGGUUGUCUCUACUCUGAUCUGACUCAAUGCUCGAAUUAAAGCAUCUCUAUGAGUACUGGAUGAUGCUAAUAGACUUCAGAUGGAAAUACGAGCCUGAGUGCUCUGUAGUUGUCUCAAAACCUUAUCAUCCUCUCUCCUAACCUCCUCAUGAGAGGCUGCACCCUCAAAUGGUCUGACUGCUGGUGGCGGUGGCUGAGCUAUCCUUCCACUACGAGUCACAAUCUGUAUCUCUCUCCCCUUUAAAUCAUCAUCCUCUGGCCAUAAGGUGAAUGGGACAAAAGUAUCCUGACAUCCAAUAACCAAGGGUGUAGAAUAAGUCAACUGGAAUUGUGUCUCGUCUGGGAUCAAACUAAAUGGUGUAGGAGCCUGAGGACCCAAUGAAACCCCAUCAACCUCAUAAUUGUCAUGCAAAACAAUCGGCUCAAGUAGUCCAUCAUCCCAACUCAACAUGUGUAUACUGUCAUCCUCUAUAAGGUCCAUGUGAUGAAUAUCUCCUAGAGAUGGAGACACUGCGUGUGUAGAAUGAGCAGGAAGAGGGUUAGUGGUUACACUUGGCUACUCCAAGUUGACCAAACCCUGGUCUAUCAAAUCUUGCAUAGCAUGUCUCAAAGCAGUGCAAUGGUCUGUGUCAUGUCCUGGUCCUUGAUGGUAGGAACAAUGUAAGUCCAUCCUGAAGCGAGGAAGUAUGGGCUGGGCUAAAGGCCUGGAUGCUAAUGGAAUCAAUAAUCCACCCUCUGUGAGCUUCUGAAAAGCUCGACUUAAAGGCAUACCCAACUGAGCAAACUGACGUGGUGGCCUCUACACAUAAGUAGUGGUCUGCGGAGCUCGGGGUCGAGUAUAUGGGGCAGGAGGCCUCUCUGCGAUGUGUGCAGCAAAAACAGGCUGUGAGACUGAAUGUAGAUAGGUAGGAGUUAGAGGUCUGGAAGGAGCAGGUGGCCUGUAAUGCGCAUGAGGUGAGGGUGGAUAGUAGAACCCAGGAGUCUUCCCAACUGUCUGAUAGCGUUUAGAAGGUCUCAUUCCUACUGAACUAAUAGCACCAAAAUCUCCUGAUCUCUGUCCUCCUGAAGGCUUUUUUCCCUUAGAAUCAGUAGGGGAAGACUCAGACCAUAAUCCUCUAGCGAUGCCCUUAUCUAUACCAUACAAAGCCUGUACCAAAGAUCUAAAAUCCGUAUGAAGAAAUCCCAUCAAGUGUCUAGCGAAUCUAGGUUGCAAACUCCUCAUGAUCAUGCUAAUCUGAUCUCUCUCUGAAGGACGGUCUAUAAUCUGUGAAAUCUUCUCCCUCCAGCGGGAGAUAAAUGAAGUGACUGACUCCUCCGACCUCUGUCUUAAAGCCUCCAACUCUCUUCUCGAAACAUCAAUGAUAGUGUUAAACGCAAACUGUCUAAAAAACUCUUGGGCUAGAUCAUCCCAAGUCCUACGGCGUGAUACGUCUAAUGAAGCGAACCAAUGCUGUGCUGCACCACUCAGUGACAUAGGGGAAAGCAUAACCAGCUGGGCCUCAUCCAGUCCUUGGGCUCUCAUAACAGUACUAUAGAGUCUCAAAUGGAUGCAAACACAACCUAUGUUUGUGUAUCUCUCAAUCUCAGGUAUCCUGAACUUGGCUGGUAAACUGGCCACUAGUGCUCCAUCAAAAUCCUUCCAAGUAAUAGCUUCAUCUGAAGUCUUCAUCUGUCUCAACCUCUGCUCAAGUCUGUCUAUACGAGCAUGUGGGUCCUUUGAGAUCGGGGUAGGCACUAUGGUAGGAGGUGGUGCGACCUUAGUAUGACUUUGCAAGUAAAAGGUACAGUCUGUGGUGUUGGCUAACUGUGCGGAGGUGGUGGUGGUACUGUGGUAUCAAACUGGGUAUCCUCCUGAACUGGGACCUGUUGGGCCUACUGCCCAUCUAUCCUCUGUCCAAGGCUGGCUAAAGCUUCCUGGAUCGAAGCCAUGGUUGCAGCAAACUGGUCAAUAGUAACUAUAUGAGAAUCCAUAUCCCCCUGAUCUGAUAUCUGGUCUGACUGGUCUGAUGCUCUGGUCAAUCUGCCUCGAACUCUAAUCCACGAAGGUGAAUCCAAACUGGUCACGACAAACUCUCCUUCAAAUAUGGAAACACUGGAUAAGGUGCGGUACGAAGAUGACUCUGUAUGAAUCAUAUUGAUAAGUGUGCAGGAAAAUAGCCCAAAUGUACUCAAUCCGAUACCCUCCUCUGAUUACACUAGAAAGAGACUAAGGAAGGGAUAACUGAAUCCAAUCGUGACCAAGACAGCUCUGAAGGUCCAUAGAUGCACCCACGUAUAGGAAUGAAAUCUUAAUUGGGUUUAGGCUAAACUACAAGGUUAAGGCUGUCUAUAAGAUAAAAUGGGUGGGUCAAAGGAUCCCUAGCAGAAGCGAUCGUACCCUCUGGCGGUAUGCAACCCUCUGCACGCCUCCAAAGAGACGGGGUGCUUCUAUGCAAGGUGGUCAUCACCUCCACACAUGCACUUCCUUGUGUUCCUAGGGGGUUUCUUUAAGGUGAAGGCUCUCCCAUCUCUCAACACUCAAGGAUAAUCUAAAGUGCACAAUGAAGGAUGUGGGUGCAUCUGAAAAACCUAACAUCUAAAGUGAAAUAGUGAACAAAGACAAGCAAUCAUACAAUCAUGUAAGAGAAAGGGUUGUCAUGCAACAAGCAGUCAUACCAAGCAGAUAAGUAUCAUACAAUCAAAGUCCUAUCUAGCAUAUGUGAGAGUGAAUCAUGCUGAAGUGAGCAAGCAAUCAAGUGAUCAUUCAAGGCAAUCAAACAUGUUAAGACAACAAACCAAACAAGCAAGCAAAUUAAAUCACCUUGCCUUAAAAAAAUGGGGUACCCUCUAAUCGACCAAUUAAACGCCACAUUUUCCUUAACUAGUGUUCAAGCUUGAUCCUCAAAAUCCCCAGUGGAGUCGCCAAUUUGUGGACCCGCAUUUUUCACGUGCGCCCCCACUCGAUCGGCGAGACUCGCUUUUAUUUAUGAAAAAUUAAUUUUUGGAAAAGUAGGAAUCGCCACUUAUUUUAUUUUAUUUUUGAAAGGGAAAAUAAAACAAGAAAUAAAACCCUAAAAAAUGACUCCAUAAUUUUUGGAAAAGUGUCUUUGAAAAAUCCGAGUCUAAGUUCGGGGAUCAGGUUACUUAUUGGGAAGGUACCUCUAAGAGGUAGCACUCCUCUAAGCACUAUAAAGGUCUCUAUUGACAAAGUUAAAGGAAGUGUGGCAAUUAAUUAGUUAAUUAUGGGUACCUAAGUAGAUUAAGGUGAUUUAAAAAAAAAAAAAAAUAGCAUGCCAAUCAAGAUCAAAUCACAAUAAAGGAAGGUUAGGAUGCGUACCCGGACCGCUUUUCAAGCGCUAUUGUAAAACAUCAAUGGUUAAUUUAAACAAUAUAUCAUCCAACAUGUAUUUGAUUAGAAAUAAUCAAACAAUGAAACAUGUAUAUCGGAACACCCAAGUAUUCUCCAGCAUAGGCAUAGUUCUCAGUGACAAUCAUGUUUACAAAACUUAGAAAGUAGGUGAUAGGGGACGUACCUGGAUAACAUAGAUAACUUACAAUGCACUUCCAUAAGACAUGAGGGAUUAGAUAAUAAUAAAAUAAAGAAACCCUAGCAUGCUUGUUAUCUAAUUAGCAUAACAAAAAUUAUCAAAGUAUAUGAAAACAUUAAUUAUCACACACAUCUUGUAUACAAUUCCUAAAAAAGAUAGACAUAAUUUCAACAAGUGACAAAGGUGGCAACAAAAAUAAUUUUUGAAAAGAUUUUCUUAUGUAGGGGUUUCACCAAUUCCCCAAAUUAAUAUACACUAAUUUAGCCCAGAAUUAUCCCAUUAUUUAGGAUCACAAGCUUUGAUUCGUGUUUUUGUUCAAAACUAAGAUUUUUGUUGAAAACCGAGAAGGAUGCAAAUCGAACAAGAUAUGGUUGCAUAUUAUUUUUAAAUAAAAAAAAAAAGAGAUUUUGAUCCUGAGGACUCUAAAUGAGUUUUUGAAAUAGAUUUUUAAAAUGAUUUUUUGAGAAAAGUAUUUUAUUUUAAAAUAAAAUGAAUUAAUUUGAAAACACUAAAAUAUAAGAAAUAAAAUACCAAAGGAAACAGAAGGAAACGAAUUCACAAAAUAAAGAUUUUAAAAAUCAUGUAAACUAAAGUGGUGAUAACAUAGGCCAAUCUUCAUUAUUAUUCGAUGGCCUCUGAAAAGUGAAUUUUGCAAGAGACUACCAGAGUAACGAACUAUUCAAACUUAGAUCAAAUAAGCUAAUGAGACAUUCAUCAAAAAUUAAAGACUAGUAUUCAGGAAACACAUAAAUUGAGCAUAACAAUCAAGAAUUAACAUAAGAUUGGCUAAAUACACAAGUACACCUAGAUUUAAAAAAUAAAAAUAAAUCAAAACUAUACUCAAUUAGAAUAAAAAACAUAAGCUUUAUGUGAUGGGAUUAAGUAAACUGUUGGAUUAAAAUCAUUAACAAGAUUAAAACUAAGCUAUGCUAUAAUUUAAGACAUAAGUUUUAUUUAACAAAAAUUAAUUAAACUAUUAAAUUACAACCACAAAUGCAUCCAAACUAAAAAAAGAUAAAUUAUAACAAAGCUAAAUCGAAAUUAAAAAUAAAUAAAUAAAUAAAUAAAUAAAUAAAUAAACUUUUUCUAAUAAGGUUAUUUUAAACUAAUGAAUUAAAAUCAAUAACACAUUUAGACUAAAUCAUAAAUCAAAACUAAACUAAUUCAGGAUAAAAAAAAUGUAAACUUUAUUUGACAGGAUUAUUUAAACUAAGGAAUUAAAACUACAAACACACUGAAACAAAAAGGUAGGUUAAAACUGAAUUAAUUCAUAAUAUAAAUCUUAUCUAACAGAAUUAUUUGAAGUAAUAAAUUUAAAUUAUAAACAUAUUUAAACUAAUAGAUAAAUUUAAAAUCAACUAAUUUGGGAUAAAAAAAAUAUAUGAACUUUAUUCAAUAUGAUUAUUUAAAGUAUAGAAUUAAAAUCAACAAAAUACAUUUGAACUAAAAACGAAUUGAAAUCAAACUAAUUGGGAUUAAAAAUACAAACUUUAUUCAAUAUGAUUAUUUAAACUUAAGAAUUAAGAUCAACAAAAUACAUUUAAACUAAAAAACGAAUUGAAAUCAAACUAAUUGGGGUUAAAGAUAUAAACUUUAUUCGAUAUGAUUAUUUAAACUUAAGAAUUAAGAUCAACAAAAUACAUUUAAACUAAAAACGAAUUGAAAUCAAAUUAAUUGGGAUUAAAAAUACAAACUUUAUUUAACGUGAUUAUUUAAAGUAAAGAAUUAAGAUCAACAAAAUACAUUUAAACUAAAAAUGAAUUGAAAUCAAACUAAUUGGGAUUAAAAAUACAAAGUUUAUUUAACGUGAUUAUUUAAAGUCAAGAAUUAAGAUCAACAAAAUACAUUUAAACUAAAAACGAAUUGAAAUCAAACUAAUUGGGAUUAAAAAUACAAACUUUAUUCAAUAUGAUUAUUUAAACUUAAGAAUUAAAAUCAUUAACAAACUUAAACUAAAAGAUAGAUUGGAAUUAAACUAAUUGGAGGUUUAAAAAGAAAAUAAUAUAAACUUUAACACAAAGAAUUAAUCAAAAACUAAAAUUUCCAAAAAAAAAUCUAGGCUAAAUAAAAGUACUAUAUAGAAAACUAACCUUUGAAGUGAAAGAGAAAAUCCUCUCUUGAUGAUUAAAUGGCAGCCCGAUCUCCGUCCGAAGUCCCUUGUUUUUUUCCAAAAUUCCGUGUGCUCUCUUUAAAAAAAAAAAAAUUCUGCUUUAUGCUUGAAUCUCUCAAAAAAACCCCUUUUAAAAAAUUCCUAUUGUUCUCUCUAUCCCCCAGAAAAUAAAAAUCUCUAACUCCCUUUUUUUUUUUUUUUUUAUCUCAUGAUGGCAGUCUACUCCUUAUAUGGCUGUGAGAGAUUCCCCAUUUUUUUUUUCCUUCUUUUUCCAAUCUCCCCAUUCAAAAACAAUCCUCCCAAUUUCAAACUUCCUCUCCAAAACCUUCCAAGGAGAGUCCCACUUUCCUUAAACUUCAAUGGUAAGUUUCCUUCCAAAAACAUGAAAUUUUUUAAAUUAAAUAAUUGAAUGAAUAAAUAAAUGAGUAGAUAAUUUAGAAAACGGUAAAACAAUAAUAAAUAAAUAAGUUAAUUAGAAUAAUAUAAAGAGGAAGAUAACCAAUAAAAAGUGAAUGGUAAUCAUAAAACUAAAACUAAAAAAAAUAAAAAUAAACAAAUUAACAAAAACUGGGCCCCACGAGCCAUGCAACCGUGCAAGUGAUACAAAACGUGAGUCUAAAAGUGCCUAUUAGGCCAAGUGUAUCUAAAUGGGCCUAAGGUGAGACUAGGUGGGCCUAACUAAAUGGGCCUAUGGUGCCUAAAUGAGCCUAGGGUGUUUAAGUGGGCUUAAGGUGCCUAAGUAGGCCUAGUGUAUCUAAAUGGACCUAAGGUGCCUAAAUGGGCCUAGUGUAUCUAAAUGGGCCUAGGGUGCCUAAGUGGGCCUAGGGUACCUAAGUGGGCCUAGGGUGCCUAAAUGGGCCUAAGGUGGUGCCUAAUGGGCCAAGUGUAUUUAAGUGAAGCCUAGUCUAAAUCAAGAUUGCCAAGGAUCACAAUAAGGGGUCAGAUAAAUCUCUUAACCAAAGUCUUCGAUGUGGCUAAAAAAAGGUAGGUAGUAUGAGUAGCAAUGGGCCACCAAGAAACUACUGUGGAGCACUGAAAACGAAUUUAAAGACAUGUGCUAAAAGGACAAAAUUGAGGGUCUACAUCACCACUUAUUUAUUCCCUUCAUAUUGAAUCGAUGUGUGAGAGAAACAGAGAAUUCCAUGGAGGCUAGUGUUAAGGCAAUUAUCACAACUAUUGAUCGACGUAAUUUAGUAUACAUUGCUAAUCCAUUAUCUAAUAGCAUAAGCUGUAGGAUUAAGUGGUAAUCAACAUUUACUAAGGUUGGAAUUCCUAUCUUAUCUUGGUAAGGUAGAUGACUUCUUCUCUCAAUUUAUGGGGCCAAGGGAAGCACCCUACAACUAAGGUGAAUGGUUUCCCAAGUCCCAAAAUUGCUAAGUUAAUUUAUUGAUGCAAGAGAGGCUUCCCCUUCCAUCAACAAGCUUAAGAGGGUAUUUCCAUCACUUUGCUUCUUUUUUCCAUGUUCGAGCUAUAAGGUAAACAUGGGGUGCUAUUCCCUUCCAAUUUUGUUUCCAUGUAUUAAUAUUGUUGGAGAAUAUAGUUGCAAACUAGAAGAAUAUAGUUGGAGGAAUGGGACAUGCUUUUGUAGAUGGUGUCUCAAACUCAAUUCCCAUGCUUAAACUUUUUGAGUUAAAUUGUAGUUUAAAAUAGUGUUGAAUCCUUGGCUUUUGAGGGGUCUUAGGUUUGAACCUCACCGCUUAUUUAUUCCCUUUGUAUUCCAUACAUAUGUGGGAGGAUGUGUUAAGGCAAUUAUCAUAAGUAUUAAUCACCCUAACAUACAUUGUUAAUCCACUAACUAAUAGCAUAAGCUGUUGGACUGUAACCAACAUUUUCUAAGGUUAGAAUUCCUAUCUUAUUUUGUUGAGAUAGAUGACUUCUUCUUUCAAUUUACAAGGCCAAGGGAUGCACUCAACAACUAAGGCAAAUGGUUUCCUGAGUUCCAAAUUGCUAAGUUAAUUUGCUGAUGCAAGAAAGGCUUCUCCUUAUACCAACAGAUUAACAUAGGGCGCUAAUCCCUUCCAAUUUUGUUUCCAUGCAUUGAGAAAAAAAAAAAAAAAAUCAACUUAGAGUGUUUUACCCCAUGGCUUUGGUGUAACUCUGUAAGGUAGUUGGAUGCAUAGCAUGCUAGUAUUGUAGAUACACCUAGCAGUUUCUUGUAACCUUUUUCUUGGUCAUCACCUUGGAAAUUUAUGCAGAAGUGGUCAAAUGGCCACAAAUUAAAAUUACUUCUCUCUCUCUCUCCUGCACAUAAAUACACAUCAUUUUUUGCUCAGUCUUUGUGAACUAUAGUUCCCUCAUUAUUAGAAUUCUGUUAAUUCCUCAUAUUAGUUUAAGAUUUUAAUUUUUUGAUUUAUCUAUUUAUUUAUAUCUUUGUAUUGGAAGAUGUAAGAUAUGUUGGAUAUUUGUAUUUUUGUAACUUCAAUAGUUCUUUUUUUUUCCUGCAGCAAGAAGAAAGCUUAAGCUUAAGGUUCAUGUUGUAUAUAUAUGCUUUACAUAGUUUGAUUGUACACCAAGUGUUUGUUUGCUUCGGUUUGUAGUCUAUGAUAUAGGUUUCAUACUUAGUUGCCUACCAUUUAUUUAUUUUUAUUGCAAUUUUCAUAAUUACCAUAUAUUCUUUUUGUUUUCUGCUUUGUAAAUUGAUUUUUGAGAUUGACAUCUCAUUUUAACAUGUACUUUUAUAAUAUGCUAUGUUUAUUACAUAUUCAGACUCAGGUCAAUGGUGUGUUCCUUUUUGCUACAAUGUGCUCUCUUUAAAGUUAGUGGCUUUGCUGCAGUCUGAGCAUAACUAAACCCAUAGUACAUGUAUUGCAGAAAACACCUACAUUCCACAGUUUAUUGAAAAGAUGGCAACAUAUUACCUGUGCAGAGCACUUCAACAGGUCACUGUAGCUAGAAUUUUGAGCUGAGAACAUCAAACGUGCAGCCCUUAAAUGCAGCUUCUUUGUUGUGUGGUGAAUUUUUCGCUCAUAUAUACUGCUUUGCGUUUGUCUUCUAUGUGUGCCAUGGUUAUUAUCACAAUAUCCAACAAUA